Maniola jurtina (meadow brown) is the source of this 5303-nucleotide long non-coding RNA. RefSeq lists it as uncharacterized. Lineage: Eukaryota; Metazoa; Arthropoda; Insecta; Lepidoptera; Nymphalidae. The record is from RefSeq and is a predicted model, not a curated record. The transcript is spliced from 2 exons.
CAUUCUACCGCAAUCGAGCAGUCACUUUUGACAUGACAGUUGACAGAUAGAGCUAAAACGUCGAGUGAGGUCUCAUGCAUUAAAUAUUUUCAGAAAAACCAGAAUAUUUUGAAAACUCCUGGACAUAUACAUUUUCCUGCUCGAAAUAGCAAUGAACUUACAACCAAAAUCAUGCAUAUAGUUAUCAAUUGUUUUAGGCAUGCUAUUAUAAUUAAAUUAGUUAUAAUUAGAUAUGUACAAUCUGCAUAUUUCAAUAAGAUUACAUAAAAAAACAUAUUUUUGUGUAAUAUACUACUAGUUGACUGAUUAAGUAUUGAAAUACUUAAAAAACAUACAUAGGUUACCCAUUUAAUAAAACAUGUUUAAUUUUAUCAUUUGUAAUCUGCGUUAUAGUCUGUAAUGAAAUUUUUUUUAUCAGGUACGUAACUCAUAUUAACCUAAAAAAACAAUGUGGCUAAUCCGGUUGUACAAAAUCUCUAAAAUUGCAUGUCUAAUAGUAUUCCUAUAUCUUUCAAAAUACUUCCUGUUGAAAAAGACUAGAUUUAAGCCUAUCACUUUAGUUUAGUUUACAGAUUGUGUCCAACAGAAUUAACCACAUUAUACGUCUAAGGGCUGAUUUUUCAAUUCUUAAAUAACUUUUAUCUGAGGAAUAAAUUUGAGAUUUGACAGUUUAUGUAUAGAAAAUCUGUCAAAACGUCUUUACUCUUCAGAUGAAAGUUAUUUAACGAAAAAUCGGGCUUAAAUCAGAAGAGGGUAGUUCCUCCUAGAGUUGUAAUAUGCAAACAUUCUAGUUAACCGAUUAUAUGAUAACACACCUGACAAAAGAAAUGAUAAAAUAUCAGUUUUAUAAUCUUAUUGAAAUAUAUCGUUGUAUUCAAAUUUCGCUUACCUAAUCUUCUGCGGAGUACUUUGUUAUAUCUUAUUGUUAAUUACGCAAAACCUUUUGGAUCAAAUCAAAAAUCUUUGGUACACAUAUAGCCUUUAAUUAUUCUAUUUAUACAGCAUAAGAUUAACAAUAUUCAUAAACUAUAUCAAAUCCAACAAUCUCUGCCUAUACAUUUUUUUUCGAUGACACUAAACUCUAUUAACAAGAGAGCAAAACUAUGGUGUGAUUUCAUUAUUUCCAUAAGUAUAAUACCAAAAUAAGAGAAAUGAGAUGGCUAGAGCGUUAAUUUUGCCUAGGAACUGUAUACAAUGACGUCAUAAUACUACUUUAACAGACAGUCAGUAUUUUUUAGAAAAAUAUCACUUAAAAAUUGAACCUACGUUAGGUUUAACUAUAAUAAAUUAAAAAAAUAUAUCUUUUCACGAUUCAUAAACGAAGACACUGCGUAGUUAAUGAACGAUUAAACGUUUGGUCGUAAAAAUGUAUGACAUAAAAUGUAAGAAAGCGUGAAUUCUGUGCGAUGACGAUAAUUGUCAAGAUUUAAACUAUUAUUUAUUUUUAAGUAAUACGUAUUUUUAAUAACGAUUUCAUAAUGUAUCACCACCAAUGAAACAUUCUAAUAAUUGACCAAAGAUAUUGCCAACAGCAACAACACAAGAACUGCUUUGGUCUAAGCCAUUUUAUAAGUACAUUUAAUUUUACAUACAAAUUUUGUAAAGUCAACCGUUGUGAUUAAUACACCUGUAAUACAUGUAUGGUGUAUUCGCUAUAAUUAUAUUGAUCCAAAAAUUUUAAUAUACAAUAACAGACAAGCUUGAAUAAUUUAUAGUGAUCGAGUAAAUGCAUUAAUUUCAUAUUUUGUUAGGUCGCUACGAGAGACGGAAAGACGAAGUUUGAGAGUGUUAUUCCCUAAGCUACUGAAACACCUAGACACCGAGGUGAAAACAUGUUGAAUUCCGCUACGCAGCUAAUACUACGAAAAAAUCGUCAGGUGCAGUAACUUCAACAAACAUAUUGGUCCAAGACCACAGGGUCGCCAGACGUUACUAUUUUCUGAGAAGCGAAAUAUGUGUGAUAAGAGUAGUGUUCGUAUGUAGUUUAACAUACGCUAGGGGCAAUUUAAAUAUAUCAAUUGUUCAAAUAACGUAAGCAAAUUACUUAGUUAUUUCAUUUAGUUAGUUAUUUAAUUAGGUAACGUUGUGUAAACCUGUUAGGGGGUUUAACUUGGAUUCUGAUAAACAAUAGAACAGGGUUAUAUUUAGUAUUUUUAGUUACAACCUGUUUUGUGUGCCUUUUCAAUAAAAUAAAAUAUAAUUAUGAGUCAGACUUUAAGUAAGAUUGUAUUUUUCGCAAGCUUUAAAGCGUCUGGUGGAAAUUACCACCUACAGAAAGCGUCUGGCAGUAUUAAUUAUUGUUUAUUAAUUUAUUAACAAUCUUCUGUAAAACAUACAUAAAAAUCAACACUCAGACUAAGAAAAGUAAUUUUUUUAUAUAGUAGCAUUUAGCAGCUGAUACCUAUAAAUUGGCCCACGGCACAAUUUAGCAGAUAUGCACACAUUAGAAUAGUAGGUAUACGCUAACACUACUCUAUCCCUCUCAUUUUGUUACUCAGAAAAUAAGUAAGGUCUGGCGGUUCCGGAAUCUUGAUCUAUAUUGAGUCUUAAGAAUACAACCCUAGCAAAUUUACAAAACAAUACUAUGAUAUGCAUAGUAAUAAGAUCAUCUGAUGCAAUCCGGAAUGCCGUGACGUCAUACGAACAACUAUAUUGUAUUAUCAUCCAUACACUUUAAGGUGAAUCUUCAUAAAUGUAAUCCAUAUAUCGAUGGUUUAGUUCACAAUGCACUAACUACACAAUUGUCGGUUUUACAGGGGAGCUGUUUAAAGUUCAAAUAUGACUAGCACAAAAGUAGUAGAUUAUUUCUAAACUGUUAAGAAAUUAUCUACUAUUUUUGCGCUAGUCAUAUCUGAACUUUAACCAGCUCUCCUGUAAAAUCGACAAAUGUAUAGUAAGUGCAAAUGUGAACUAAGCUAUCGAUAUCUAAUCUAUACUCUAUCCACGGAGAAAAGUUAAUAUAUAUCUCUCUGUUGCGUAAUCCCGCACCAAUGACAAAGACAAAAUAGUCAGUGGGCGUUAACCAUUUUGAGUGACCAACCAAUCACAAACGAGCUUAGGUAUGUUUUCCACAUUACUCUAUAAACGUUAACGCCCACUGACUUUUUUAUCUUUGUCAUUUGUCCCGUACAAAUCAUUCAAAAUUCAAUUAGAAAACAUAGUUUCGUUUGUGAUUGGUUGGUGACUCAAAAUGGUUGACGCCCACUGAUAUUUAAGUCUCUGUCGUUUGUAUGGGAUUACGUAACAGAGAGUGCCCUAUAUACUAACUUCUUUCCUAGAUAAGAGUCUAGUAUUGAAAUUCAUUACACAAUGGUAUAAGUAGAUACUUUUAUAGACAAACUGGUGCUAAUUCACUUGUAUACUAAAACAGGUCUGAAAGCAUUGCUAUCCUUUUCCGUAAGGUGUUUUAUUAAAAGGAUAGGAUUUUCUAUGGUAUUUUCCAUUUAUUAGAUUCGUUCUAAUAAAAAUAGCACCAUUGUGACCCGUAAAGUGUGACGUCAUUAACGUAUGGUCCACCACAUAGAUAAUUAUAAUUGAAGACCACAUACAAAUUAACAAAUUAGAGACAACAAACAUGCAGUGCUUCUACGCUUACAUUAUAAGUUAUAACUCAAUAAAUACGUAAAUUAUUACAUUACCAAUAUACAGAUAUUGAAUAUUUAAGUUACAAAACAAUGUACAUAAUAAAAUAUCUCAUUUACUUUGUAAUAGUAAUAAGCUAAUUUACAAUAAUUAUUAUUAUUUUUCAAACGUGUUUAGUGCUUUCAAUUGUACACCUACAAUAAAUACUGUUUAUAUUAAGAUUGUUGUUAUUCAACAGGCAGCCUUCGAUGGGUGCACAACCUUAAUCCAAAAAUAAAGAAAUCUAAGAAUUCGUGAAAUAGAAACUUACGAAAUAUAUGAAACGAAAACCUCAACACAAAAAAGAGACAAAAAUAUACCUCUUUCGGAUGUACCUUGCGAGAGAAUGAGAUAGAAUACAUUAUAAAGUGUUUUAUAUAUAUCAUUUUCAUCAUCGUAUUGUUUCAUACUAUAAUUACCAUAAGCCUCUCGAGUCAUUUGUUGAAAUAGAAAACUUGGAGUCUGUAUAUGUAAUGAAAUAUGUGGAAUAAAAUUUAAAAUAGUCUUUUUAAAUUUCAUAGCAUAUUAUAAAAAAUAACCCUACAAUUAUUUAUCCUACUCCUAAUACACUGCAUUCUUAGUUUUUCUCUGAAAGUUUCACUUCGACCGCACACAUGUUUUUUCUUUUCUAUGAAUUCUGAGCAUUCUCCUUUGUUAUUAUGGUCAAUACGGCUUAAAUAAACUUUUCGUUUUAACGUGGCUGCCCGUGGGAUAACUAUGCAAUCGAUUAAUAUAACUACGGACUACAUUAAAUAACUAUUUUAAAAUUUUGGAAGCAACGUUCUUUCAGACGUAUCAUAAGUAUUUCAUGGAUUAAAUGACUAAUAUUGUAUAUAACAUUUUGUAUAAAUAUUUUCAAAUUUGAAGUACGAUUUGUUAACUUAUUACAAUCCUUAUCGAUGGGUAAAGGAGCAACUUGACCGCUUUCUUUAAACCAUAUCACAUAAAUAAUAAAUGAUUAGUAAACGACACUAACUAACGAUAAAAAAUGUUACUGUGUAAAUACAGGAUGUAAUUAGAAUGAUAGCAAAAACGAAGACAGGUGAUAGCCCUGAUGAUUACUAAAACCUGAUGAUUAAAAAAACGCAAAAAAAAUUAAAACCUGUAUUUUUUUAAGUUUUUAAUGUAUUGCAAAUAAAACAUCCGACUGACGCUAGAGGUCAACGAACGUUGCGUAAAUAGAUGCCGCGGGGUCAAUGCCACGUCGUACGCGAGGGAUUGAUCUCGAGUUUGCACUUUAUACAUUGCGGGUUAGAAUAAUACUGAAUCACUAAAACUACAAAUAUAAGGCAAAUGGGUAUUGGACUGUGUUUAGGUAGUAUAAUCAUAGCGCUAAAUUUUUGCUAGCAUUCUAAUUACAACCUGUAUAGAACAUAAGUGACCUAGCCCAAUAGCAACAUGUCAACUUAGAAAUUUAACUUUCAUUUAGGCAAAAUAAAAUGAUAUCAACAUACUCGACGCUGAGUUAGACACAGUGAAGGAUAGAAUUUUGUUUUUUUGGUUAGGUCAGUCAUGUUUCGUACGAUAUUUCUUAAGGAACAUCACAGCUGAACUAAUGUGACUGGAGCGCAGAUUAGACGGGCCCCAUACUACAACUGCAAUAACCCAUAAACUACUUGUUUUUGGUAGCCCCAAAAUUAGUAUAACAGACUUGAAAUAACCUAUUUUGAUAGAACAGAAAU